This 446-nucleotide unclassified non-coding RNA is filed under the name uncultured fungus. RNAcentral's name for it is "partial contains 5.8S ribosomal RNA, internal transcribed spacer 2, and large subunit ribosomal RNA". Lineage: Eukaryota; Fungi. The record is from RNAcentral.
AACGCAUAUUGCACUCCCUGGUAUUCCGGGGAGUAUGCCUGUUUCAGUAUCAUGAACACAUCUCAGACCAAAGGAAGGGGGGGUGGAAACACUUCUUUCCUUUGGGCCCUGGAUUCUGGGCUCGCGAACCCAUCUCUCUCUCUCCCUUGUGUGAGAGAGAGAAAGGUCGACCAGCCUGAAACGCAUCCCCGCCGCGGGGGAAAUGGAAAAUAAAAAAGGCGUGAUAGUUUGAUGACCCUCUCUCGAGGGGAGUCGAUCUUUUCGCCGAACCAAAAAAACCCCCGGUGAUUGGUUAGCAGGACAAGGAACGACGGGUUGAAAAAAAGAGAGAAGAAGAAGGCGGGGAGGGAAACCUUCCUUCCUUCCUUCCUCUCUCUCCUCAAUCCGUGCGAUCUUUUCUUUUUCAACUUGAUCUGAAAUCAGGUAGGAGUACCCGCUGAACUUAA